This 486-nucleotide ribosomal RNA is filed under the name uncultured bacterium. RNAcentral's name for it is "partial 16S ribosomal RNA". It matches the Rfam family "Bacterial small subunit ribosomal RNA", at positions 30 to 507 of the family's 1533-position model. The record is from RNAcentral.
AUUGAACGCUGGCGGCAUGCCUUACACAUGCCAGUCGAACGGCAGCACGGGUGCUUGCACCUGGUGGCGAGUGGCGAACGGGUGAGUAAUACAUCGGAACAUGUUCUGUAGUGGGGGAUAGCCCGGCGAAAGCCGGAUUAAUACCGCAUACGAUCCACGGAUGAAAGCGGGGGACCUUCGGGCCUCGCGCUAUAGGGUUGGCCGAUGGCUGAUUAGCUAGUUGGUGGGGUAAAGGCCUACCAAGGCGACGAUCAGUAUCUGGUCUGAGAGGACGACCAGCCACACUGGGACUGAGACACGGCCCAGACUCCUACGGGAGGCAGCAGUGGGGAAUUUUGGACAAUGGGCGAAAGCCUGAUCCAGCAAUGCCGCGUGUGUGAAGAAGGCCUUCGGGUUGUAAAGCACUUUUGUCCGGAAAGAAAUCCUUGACUCUAAUACAGUCGGGGGAUGACGGUACCGGAAGAAUAAGCACCGGCUAACUACGUG